UCACUCUGGUCUCUCUUCAACUUCAAAUAAAUCUUUCGCCUUUUACUAAAGAUUUCUGUUUAGAGGGGCACACCAAGGAGUCUAACAUGAAAUUUUUUCACGUCCGGCCUUACCAGGCU
This is a small nuclear RNA of Sitodiplosis mosellana (orange wheat blossom midge), 119 nucleotides long. RefSeq annotates it as U5 spliceosomal RNA. The record is from RefSeq and is a predicted model, not a curated record. The transcript has a single exon. NCBI's taxonomy places the organism in Eukaryota, Metazoa, Arthropoda, Insecta, Diptera, Cecidomyiidae.